This 410-nucleotide unclassified non-coding RNA is filed under the name Hevea brasiliensis (rubber tree). The record is from RNAcentral. Lineage: Eukaryota; Viridiplantae; Streptophyta; Magnoliopsida; Malpighiales; Euphorbiaceae.
GAAGUUCUAAUAAUCAUGACACACAUCAGGAAACUAUUGGUGAUAUGCUGGAUCUUGUUACCUUUGAUCAUGAGUUAAGUUAUGGCAAUGCAAAGUUAGCAAAUGAAAUUUCACCAGGGUUUAAUGUGACUGGCAACAUGGAUGAUAUUUUGGCGCUGCCAAAGUCACAGGAUUGGGCAAGUAAUUCAGGUGGUCAACUGAUUCCUCAAACUGUCCAUUUCCAGUCCACGGAUCCGCUAAGCUGGCGUAACUCACCGAUGACCCAUAUGACCCAGUUUGAUGGGAGUGGAAUGAACGCUCUGGAACUACUAGACUCUGAUAAGAAGCCAUAUGUAUUGGAAGAUGACACACCUGAAAUACUAAAGGACUCUUCUAUACCACAAAUUGGUGUUAAAGUGAACUCCCCGAAU